Long non-coding RNA from Neodiprion fabricii, 453 nucleotides. RefSeq lists it as uncharacterized. NCBI's taxonomy places the organism in Eukaryota, Metazoa, Arthropoda, Insecta, Hymenoptera, Diprionidae. The record is from RefSeq and is a predicted model, not a curated record. The transcript is spliced from 3 exons.
CCUCCGUCUGUUGGGUAAGAUCCUGUGUUUGCUGGGUAAGGUCUCCCGAUUGCUCAAUAACACCCUGUGAUUGUUGACUAAAGUCCUCCGUCUGUUGGGUCAGAUCCUGUGUUUGCUGGGUAAGAUCCUGUGUUUGCUGGGUAAGAUCCUCCGUUUGUUGGGUAAGAUCCUGUGUUUGCUGAGUAAGGUCUCCCGAUUGCUCAAUAACACCCUGUGAUUGUUGACUAAAAUCCUCCGCCUGUUGGGUAAGAUCUUGUGUUUGCUGGGUUAAGUCCUCUGUUUGUUGAGUGAGAUCCUGUGUUUGCUGGGUAAGAUCCUGUGUUUGCUGGGUAAGAUCUUGUGUUUGCUGAGUUAAAUCCUCUGUUUGUUGGGUAAGAUCUUCUAUUUGUUGGGUAAGAUCUUCUGUUUGCUGGGUAAGAUCUUCCGUGUGCUGGUUGAUAUGUUGGGUUUGUU